Molecule: small nucleolar RNA, 129 nt
Gene: SNORA63
Rfam family: Small nucleolar RNA SNORA63
About the family: E3 belongs to the H/ACA class of snoRNAs and is involved in the processing of eukaryotic pre-rRNA and has regions of complementarity to 18S rRNA.
Source: Ensembl
UAGCAGGAUAAGUUACAGUGCAGCUUGUGAAGUGCUGUGUUGUCGUUCCCCCUGCAAAAACUAACCUGUUUCCAGCUAUCCCUGCUUGUCUUCCUUCGUAGACACCCAGGGACGCAAGGUCUCAAACAG